RNAcentral lists this ribosomal RNA (253 nucleotides) under uncultured bacterium. RNAcentral describes it as "partial 16S ribosomal RNA". It matches the Rfam family "Bacterial small subunit ribosomal RNA", at positions 524 to 776 of the family's 1533-position model. The record is from RNAcentral.
UACAGAGGGGGCAAGCGUUGUUCGGAAUUACUGGGCGUAAAGGGCGCGUAGGCGGCCGCCUAAGUCAGACGUGAAAUCCCUCGGCUCAACCGGGGAACUGCGUCUGAUACUGGGUGGCUUGAAUUCGGGAGAGGGAUGCGGAAUUCCAGGUGUAGCGGUGAAAUGCGUAGAUAUCUGGAGGAACACCGGUGGCGAAGGCGGAUCUCUGGGCCUGUCCUGACGCUGAGGCGCGAAAGCUAGGGGAGCGAACAGG